Molecule: long non-coding RNA, 1656 nt
Organism: Equus caballus (horse)
Lineage: Eukaryota; Metazoa; Chordata; Mammalia; Perissodactyla; Equidae
Source: Ensembl
GGACUGAUAGCCGCCUCAUCCGCGGUCCAAUCGGGGCCCAUCUGGGAAGGGCGAGCGUAAGGACCACAUGCGAUCUAGCCAGCAGGGCGUGCUCCUUCCAAACCCAGGACUCAGGGGAAAAAACGUCUUGGAAACAUUUGCAGGACCACAGAGCUUCUAGAGUCGAGGAGAGUGACAAACAUUUUGGCAAGUGAGAAGUGCGGCUGUGCUGGCAGCUGAUGAAGGUUUCUGCUGUGGAGGGGCAGCCUGGGAGCCAAGAGAGACGACAGCAAGGAGCGGAGGUGACCUGGUAGCACGGAAAAUGGGGUGGGGCAGGGGCCUCGGGAGGAGCAGCGGGAGGUUUUGGGACGACUGCCUGGUCUCGGGUGACCUGCACGCCAGCUCCGCUCCUGGCUCCCCAGGCAGGCUUGUCGGGGAGCACACAUGGGACGGUCCUUCUUCUCCAAACCCAGAGUGUGGGCUGUGGGUCUUCACUCUGACAGUCACAGCUCGGUGAUCCUGGGCAAGAUCCAUAAAGUAGGCUUCAGAAGGAUCUGCCCCAUAGCAUCAUUGUGAGGACCCCAGGUGCUCAGAUGGGGCGAAGAGCUCAGGGAGGAAGAGCUGAGAAAUGCACACCGCAACGAUGCCCUUCACCUCCCGGUGACUGUGCCAGGGCGGGUGCCUGGCCUGGGUGCCGGGGGCCUGAAGCCCCUGUCUGUGUUCCCCAGGGAAGGCGGCUGGCAAGCAGGUUCCCUGCUGCUCGUCGCUGGCUGUAGGGUGCCUCUGCUUCACACUGCACCACCCACUUUCACCCUGCUGACCCCGGGUCCAGGCUUGGGGCGGGGGCGGGGGGACCACCCUGUAGAUUUUUCUCAUGUAAAACAACUAAGCAACAUCUUCUAACUCAGUUGUUCCCGGAAGUGCUGCAUUUUGGGUUUUGGGGUCUGGUGCGUGAAGGAAACUGAUACAGUCCCUGGUUCCGCAUCGUCUCCUGUUGGUUCUCAGCUGGCUCAGAACCCGGGGUGGGGAGGGUUAAGGACAGCCCCAAACGGUCCACAGGCCCAGUCACUCGGGACGUCGUGCUUGCGACUCGCUCCUCCAGCUCCGUCUCCCUCCCUGCUGUUCCCUCCCGUCUCCCUCCUGGCUCCCUCUCCCCUCUCUCCACCCAACUCUUCCGCUGGCUCAUGGCUCUGGCUCAGCACCCCCUCUUUUUGCCCACCUUCCUGUCACUCCUUGUGUGUCUCAAAGGCCAGCCCCUGAGGCUUCUGACUGAGUGGAGCAUCUCCAUGCAGAACAGAGUACCUCUGGGGCAGAGCUGUUGCAGGGGGUCACCAGGGAGUCCACACUGCAGGUGGCUCAGGAGCAUCCUCGGUCCGCUAUCCUGUGCUGGUCAUGAGCAGAACCUGGUGCCUUGUGGGUAAAGCACCUUCGGCGGGGCUCCGAGCAUGGCAAGGACUCGGAUGGUGUGGGGACCAUGCAGUGGGUGGGCAGGAUGGCAAGAUGAGUGAGGGCGGCUCACCGGCAGAGGAUGGUGACCAGGGCAGCUGGGCCUCCGGACAAUUCAUACAAGGAGCCACAGAAGGCACUGGGGAUUGCAGGUGGGGACAGGAAGACCUCGGGAAGCCUCGGAUGCAGCAUCAGGAGUGCUCGCCAGUAGGCUGGUCUCCCCUUCUUGCA